GAUCUGUGUUCGAAGGACGUUGGCAACACGUGGACUUAGUUUUAAAGUCAUUGCCGUCAUUGCAUCUGAAGAAUUCACAAAAAGUUGCUUACCUUAACUAUGCAACGUGAUAAAUGUCGAAUGAUGGAGAGUCAACUGACAGUUAAGGAUGAGAAGCCUGCAUCAUUAGUCAGUCAGACUGUAGGUGAAAUGAAAAUUAAUCAAGCUGAUUAUCAACCUUUUGUUGUGACCUUUGGGUCACAUCAGCCAUCACCAAUAUUGACUCUGCCUCUCAAUGUACCAUUGGCUGCAGCAGUCUUCCUUUCCCAGGGUACUAUUCUUGCCAACUCAGAUCCAUCAACUCUUCAGAUAAUCAAACCAAAGCCCAAUGAAAAUCCGCCUACUGUAGAAGGAAGUAAAAUGUCUUCUCCGGUGUCCUCUGUGAUACCAAUUCCAAGCACAUUCCCUAUUGCCGAACCGACAGCAGGAGCGGUACAUGUCGAACAAUCCCGCAAUGAUCACACAACAACCGAAUACGUCGAAAAUAGUGAGCAGCAUGCUCAUCUUCUACCUUCCCCGUGUUUCGUACCGAAUCCGCUAGAAGGGAAGAAAUCGCCUUACCCUAAAAUUAUUCGGAGAAGUUUUCAACCAGCUUAUGCUUCUCUUACAAUUGGUGAAACGCCUCUCUUGACCUCUGAAUUGACCGUAGCAUCCUUCGGAAAUAUCAGAGAUGUGAAUGCUUAUGUGGAUUUCAAUAUAGAUAUUCACAUGUCUACAGACACCACCAAAACAUGCAAGCUAAUCGAAGGAGUUGAAAAUGCUUUGUCAGCAAUGCCUCCUCUGAUCCCGAUUGUAAUGGACGAAGAACUUUUUCUAGCUAACCAUUCGUCAUUUCCUGAUAAAUGUCCGAAUGGUAAUAGACAACCUAACGCUGAUGCUAACUCCCCCUCUACUGAGCGUUCCUUGGUAAAUGAACUGGAAACCCAUAGUAAUCAAUUAGCAUCCAUCAGCAGGCCCGGGUGAGCUACAACUUCUACUUUCCCCACCAUCUGCCGGUCAGGAUAAGUCUCGUAAUCAUCCACCCGCUGCCAGUCCAAGCAAAAUUGCUUCACCUCCAACGCUACCAACACCUGGGCCUAGAAAUCUUACUACUCCUACAACCCAACCGUCUGCCACACCGGAUGAUCCUGCUACCAAAAAAAAAAAGAAAACAAGAAAAAGGACGGAAGAACAUCACAGUGCUUUAGAUGCAAUAUAAAAGGCCAUUUCAGUAAAAAAUUGUCCCCAAAAAAAGGGAUACGGUGCUGCAUCAAUCCCGCAAUGUAACCCUGCCCCUCAGCUUGUCCUCGUGUCGGCUCCACGACCAAGGGUCUAUCACCAAGCAGUUCCU
Molecule: unclassified non-coding RNA, 1369 nt
Filed under: Daphnia magna
Lineage: Eukaryota; Metazoa; Arthropoda; Branchiopoda; Diplostraca; Daphniidae
Description: uncharacterized LOC116922523, transcript variant X4
Source: RNAcentral